RNAcentral lists this non-coding RNA (29 nucleotides) under Mus musculus (house mouse). Lineage: Eukaryota; Metazoa; Chordata; Mammalia; Rodentia; Muridae. The record is from RNAcentral.
UGUUCUCUCUCACCUGCCUCAAUACCUUC